AUUGAACGCUGGCGGCAGGCCUAACACAUGCAAGUCGAGCGGAUGAAGGGAGCUUGCUCCUGGAUUCAGCGGCGGACGGGUGAGUAAUGCCUAGGAAUCUGCCUGGUAGUGGGGGAUAACGUCCGGAAACGGGCGCUAAUACCGCAUACGUCCUGAGGGAGAAAGUGGGGGAUCUUCGGACCUCACGCUAUCAGAUGAGCCUAGGUCGGAUUAGCUAGUUGGUGGGGUAAAGGCCUACCAAGGCGACGAUCCGUAACUGGUCUGAGAGGAUGAUCAGUCACACUGGAACUGAGACACGGUCUAGACUCCUACGGGAGGCAGCAGUGGGGAAUAUUGGACAAUGGGCGAAAGCCUGAUCCAGCCAUGCCGCGUGUGUGAAGAAGGUCUUCGGAUUGUAAAGCACUUUAAGUUGGGAGGAAGGGCGGUAAGUUAAUACCUUGCUGUUUUGACGUUACCAACAGAAUAAGCACCGGCUAACUUCGUG
Molecule: ribosomal RNA, 484 nt
Filed under: uncultured bacterium
Lineage: Bacteria
Description: partial 16S ribosomal RNA
Rfam family: Bacterial small subunit ribosomal RNA
Source: RNAcentral